This 436-nucleotide long non-coding RNA is filed under the name Vulpes vulpes (red fox). RNAcentral describes it as "lncRNA (ENSVVUG00000000495.1)". Lineage: Eukaryota; Metazoa; Chordata; Mammalia; Carnivora; Canidae. The record is from RNAcentral.
GCUCAGCCUCGGGCUCGACGGCCGGGGACGGCCGCCGGUGGGUCCUCGGCUACUUACCGGGGGGGAAGAGAGCCGGGAUCCCUGGGCCCCGGGCCGGACCGCGGAGAUGCCCCAAACUGACACGGCCGCCAUCUUGGAGACAAGUUACUAGCAACUGCCAACUCUUGAGAGUCACAUAGGACCAAGACUGAGGAUCUCUGCGAGGAAACAGUCAUGCUCAGGAAGAGGGUUUCGUCAAUCCUUUGUCAUGUUGGAAGGCAGUCAGACAAAGAAGGAAGAAGCAGAGGCUGUAACUAUUGUGGAGAGAGAAAGGAGAAUGUACAUAUUUAAACAGGAUAAAAAAGGUCUGAGUGGAAAGUUAGAGACUUUGGAAAAUGGAAAAUGCAAUGAAAUCAGCUUUCCUAGCAACUGUCGAAAAAUACAAUAAACAUUCAUU